This 93-nucleotide small nucleolar RNA is filed under the name Rosellinia necatrix. RNAcentral describes it as "A. fumigatus snoRNA Afu_300". It matches the Rfam family "A. fumigatus snoRNA Afu_300". The record is from Rfam by way of RNAcentral. Lineage: Eukaryota; Fungi; Ascomycota; Sordariomycetes; Xylariales; Xylariaceae.
UAUUGUGAUGAUCAUUUUCUAUGCUUCGGCAUAGCUGGAAAUUACCGGCUGAGACUUAGUCUUUGACGAAAAAAAACUGGCUGAUAUCUGAUG